GUCCUUGUUGUGCAAUGGAUAGCACGUUGGACCUCUAAUCUAAAGGUUGUAGGUACGAAUCCUACCUGGGAUU
This is a non-coding RNA of Trichonephila clavipes, 73 nucleotides long. NCBI's taxonomy places the organism in Eukaryota, Metazoa, Arthropoda, Arachnida, Araneae, Nephilidae. The record is from the annotation of a GenBank genome assembly.